CUAGUCUGCUGCGGUCGCUGCAAAAUCAGCGACCGGGCCUGAGAACCCGAUCA
This is a non-coding RNA of Pseudomonas fluorescens, 53 nucleotides long. The record is from Rfam. Lineage: Bacteria; Pseudomonadati; Pseudomonadota; Gammaproteobacteria; Pseudomonadales; Pseudomonadaceae.